Molecule: RNA transcript, 2626 nt
Organism: Lycium barbarum (goji berry)
Lineage: Eukaryota; Viridiplantae; Streptophyta; Magnoliopsida; Solanales; Solanaceae
Exons: 6
Source: RefSeq, a predicted model, not a curated record
AAAUCAAGUGUAGUGAAAUAAAAACUUAUGUUUUCACCAAAAACUAAGGCGCCAAAACUAAUUGAGCUGUAUAUACUGAAAUAAAAAAUUCCCAAUAUUAAUCAAACUCUCUAUCUUCUGAAAACACAAACACACCUAGUUUCUACACGUCGUUCCCAUCAUCUGCUCUGCCCUAGUUCUACCAAUUAAUUUCUCAUCUCCUCAGAUUCUUCUCUUGUUCAUCAAAAACCUCUCAAGGUAUUAUAGAUUCUUCUCCCUCUUCACUUUAUUUUCUAUAAUUUGUGCUAUUUGUUCUAUUACUUCUUUGUUUAAAAUCAAAAAGGUAAACACUCAAUAUUUUUACUCAGUUUCAAUGUUUUGUAUAUGCUCCAAGUUGAAUUUUUGAGCUUAUUAUUUUGGGUCUGUGUUUAUGAGGUGAAAAACCCGCUAUUUCUAUUUUAAAACUUAAUCUUCUGAUUCUAUUUCAUGUUUUGUGUAUGUACCCAGUUGAAUUUUUGAGUUUAUUCUUUUGGGUAUGUGUUUAUGAUACAAAAAAAAACCUUUUAUUUCUAUUUUAAGACUCAAUCUUGAUUUCAUUUUAUAUCUUUGUACAAGCCGAGUUGGAUUUGUGUGGUUAUUUUGGUUGUAUGAAUGUCUCUUUGUUUAUUUUUUGAUAAUUUGUGCUAUCUAUUUUAUGGGUAUGUGUUAGGAUCAGUAAGACCUUUUUUCAGUAUUGAGAUUUUUCGAGCCACAUAGGGACUUGUCUUGUUACUUCUAUUUGCAAUUUUUCUUAUUUUACAUCUGUAAAGGUUUCGACUAAAUUCAUUUAUACCUCAUAGCCUAUCUAAUCUCUAUUGUCAUUUGUAUUUAGCAUACCUGGAAAUAAUAGCAUAUGGGAAGAUAGCAAUUCCCUUUCGCUGUGUUUAACUCUUUCACUCUCGAUAGGAAAAAAAAAUUGAAAAAGUUAUGGAACCCGUGUUUUGAAGCAAGGCCUAACCAAAUAUGUGAAUUUAACUUUUAUGGCCAAACUUAAAUAAAUUUCUACCUCCACUAUGAGCAUCUGUAAAUCCAUCACAUAAGUUAGCUUUAACAGAAAUCACAAAACCAUUAGUUCUAAAGAGAAGGUACAAUUUGUAAAUUGGAACGAGAAGGUACAAUUUCAUUGCCACCAUCUACUGAUUAAGUUAUUCAACACUGCCAAUCAGUUGAAACAGGUAUGAUAUUUUGAAUCCAUGUGUUAUAAAUUUGAAGAACCGAAUUUUAUUGCUGUAGUUUAACCAAAUCAUGCAAAUGUAGGUUCAUCUAAUCCUAGAAAGGUAUAAAGAGCUCAGGGUAGGAACACGUGUAAAGAAGUUGGACAAAAGCUGAAAGUAACUUUUUACAAUAAUCGGACUGUUGGAACAAAUAGCAACCUGUUUUCGAGGCACUUGGGAAGAAUAAUUCGUGAUCGUAAUAUGUGUCCGUUGGGAGUUCCAUCGUGGAAUGAUAUUAAGCAAGAAAAAUUGAAUCACAUGUGGGCAGCUGUUGAGGAUAAAUUUGAAAGUGCUGACAUGAAUGAUCAUCGUUAUCAUGUCUUGGAAUGGAUGAAAGAGUUAUGGAACAAAUGGAAAGGAUACUUGCAUGCACAAUAUGUGAAAAACAAUCCAAUCCAAUAGGCUCUUAAGAAUAUGCCAAAGGGAGUAUACAAGAAAGAAUGGGAGUGCUUAGUAAAAGAAAAUUUUACUUCAGAAAGUUUUCAGCAACAGGAAUGCAGCAAAUCGAGCUAAGUUGAAGAUGCCUCAUCAUAUUGGUAGCAAGCCUAUUCGAGAGAUUAUUUAUCAAAAGGUAUUAUCAUAAAAUUUCUAUUUUCCUAGAGGAAAUAUUUAUGAGAUGUUAUUUGACAUGUUUGCUUUUGAUGUAAAGGGCGGGAAAUAUGGCAAUCCACCAGAUUUGGGGACUGUUUUCUAUGAGACUCGUAAAAAAGAUAACAAGCUUGUUGAACCUGAAGCAAUUGAAAAACAUGCUCAGAUCGAAGAAAUGGUUCAAUCAGAGCCAUCUCUAUCUAGCAUAGAGAUUGUCAAAAACUGUUGUGGACCUCAAACUCAUAGCCAUGUAUUUGGCUUUGGGUGUGGAGUAAAGGCGAAAGACUUGAAAGGUGGAACCUCUUCAAAAGCUGAAUUGUUGUCUGCGCUACGUUCGACUCAAGAAGAAAACAAAUCCUUGAAUGAGAAAAAUAAAUCCUUGAAUGACCGUUUGUCUGCCUUAGAAGAUGAGAUGAAAGAAAUUAAGAAAAUAAAAGAAUUCUUUGCCUCUCAACAAUCAUAUGUCCUGCCUACGACAUCGCCUGUUUCAACUGAAUGACCACUGUUUUUGUCUGCUAACCAACCUCGAUGAUUUUGCUGGAUAACACCUAAUGAAUUUAUUAGUUUACUUUUGGGGUUUUGAAGAUUGAAUUUGACAAGUCAAGACGGAAUUUUAGAAGAUGCACAAGCUCAUUAUUUUGCUAGGAAUGUUAUGCACUCGCUAUCGUAGUCUAGCUCGAGUGUUAGCGAUGUUUUUUUGUUAAGGUGUCGAGCAAAUAUUGAAACUAACAUCAUGAGAUGUUAACAAUUUUACUGUAAUUAAUAACUCUAUCUUCCUCUUUAUAUAUAUAACGCUUUUGUAUCUA